RNAcentral lists this ribosomal RNA (253 nucleotides) under uncultured bacterium. RNAcentral describes it as "partial 16S ribosomal RNA". It matches the Rfam family "Bacterial small subunit ribosomal RNA", at positions 524 to 776 of the family's 1533-position model. The record is from RNAcentral.
GACGUAGGGCGCGAGCGUUGUCCGGAUUUAUUGGGCGUAAAGGGCGCGUAGGCGGCCAUGCGUGUCUUCCGUGAAAUCCCUCGGCUUAACCGAGGACGUGCGGAAGAAACUGCAAGGCUCGAGUCCGGAAGAGGGGGGCGGAAUUCCCAGUGUAGCGGUGAAAUGCGUAGAUAUUGGGAGGAACACCAGUGGCGAAGGCGGUCCCCUGGGCCGGAACUGACGCUGAGGCGCGAAAGCGUGGGUAGCAAACGGG